CAAAGUAUAAAAGAACCAGAUGCUCCGCAGGGCGUAGCUUUAUACGACCGCAGAGGUUGAACCCUGAAUGGUUGGGGCAAGUAUGGACACAACAUUCAAGCUGGAUUCAGCUCUAAAUUUGGAUUGUGAUUAAAUAGUUGACACAGCAUAGGUUUCUGACACAGAAUGAAUGUGUUCUAAUGAACUUAAAAUUUUUGUUUUCUCUUAGAGCAAUUCACUAUGCUGUUGAAUAUUAAUCCUCUCAAAAAAAUGUUUGAAGAAAUUUUCUUUUUUAUUUAUGAAAUUUCAAAUGAGAAAAAUUAAACCCAAUUUUUUUAAUCACAUCCCCCUUUCCCUUAUUCCAAAACUAAUCUCAAUUGAAAUUUCUAAUGGAGUUUGCAACAAUAACUACUCAUUUAAAUACAUCAUAAAAUAUUAAGAUGUAAAUAAACUGCUUGUUAUCACUGAAUGGUAAAGAUUAUUUUAAUUUAUCAGUUGGUAGUAAAAAGUGAAUAUACAUUGUAUAUUGUAUAUAAC
This 516-nucleotide long non-coding RNA is filed under the name Mytilus galloprovincialis (Mediterranean mussel). Lineage: Eukaryota; Metazoa; Mollusca; Bivalvia; Mytilida; Mytilidae. The record is from RNAcentral.